AGGGUUCGAUUCUGGCUCAGGAUGAACGCUAGCUACAGGCUUAACACAUGCAAGUCGAGGGGCAGCAUUGGAGUAGCAAUACUCAGAUGGCGACCGGCGCACGGGUGAGUAACACGUAUCCAACCUGCCGCUUACUCGGGGAUAGCCUUUCGAAAGAAAGAUUAAUACCCGAUGGUAUAAAGAGUUCGCAUGUUCUCUUUAUUAAAGAAUUUCGGUAAGCGAUGGGGAUGCGUUCCAUUAGAUAGUUGGCGGGGUAACGGCCCACCAAGUCUACGAUGGAUAGGGGUUCUGAGAGGAAGGUCCCCCACAUUGGAACUGAGACACGGUCCAAACUCCUACGGGAGGCAGCAGUGAGGAAUAUUGGUCAGUGGACGAGAGUCUGAACCAGCCAAAGUAGCGUGAAGGAUGACUGCCCUAUGGGUUGUAAACUUCUUUUAUAAGGGAAUAAAGUGAGGGACGUGUCCCUUUUUGUAUGUACCUUAUGAAUAAGGAUCGGCUAACUCCGUGCCAGCCGCGGC
Molecule: ribosomal RNA, 518 nt
Filed under: uncultured bacterium
Lineage: Bacteria
Description: bacterial SSU rRNA
Rfam family: Bacterial small subunit ribosomal RNA
Source: RNAcentral